CGCAUCUGUGCAUGCAGCAUAUCAAUAAGCGGAGGAAAAGAAACUAACAGGGAUUCCCUUAGUAACGGCGAGUGAAGCGGGAAGAGCUCAAAUUUGAAAUCUUCAAGGUUUUACCUUGACGAAUUGUAGUUUAAAGAAGUGUUUUCUGUUGAAGUUUUGGUAAAAGUUCUUUGGAAUAGGACAUCAUAGAGGGUGAGAAUCCCGUAUUUGACCAUUAUUUUCAGCUGUGUGAUACACUUUCAAAGAGUCGGAUUGUUUGGGAAUGCAGUCCAAAAUGGGUGGUAAAUUUCAUCUAAAGCUAAAUAUUGGCGAGAGACCGAUAGCGAACAAGUACCGUGAGGGAAAGAUGAAAAGAACUUUGAAAAGAGAGUUAAACAGUACGUGAAAUUGUCAAAAGGGAAGCGUUUGACACCAGUGUUGUUUUCUCGAAAAUCAAUUAAAAAGAGUUAGAUUUUGUUGUGUAUUGACCUUAACAGCUUGCAUUUCAAUUUUCUUGCUUUUUUUAAUGCACUUUUCGUUUAACAAGUCAACAUCAGUUUCUUUUGUUGUAAAAAGGUCAUUGGAAGGUGGCUUUCUUUUCGGAGAAAGUGUUUAUAGCCUUUGACUCCUGCAAUCGGAGAGACUGAGGUCUGCAGCGUAGAUCCUUCGGGGUUAGAUACAUUUGUGCUAAGUUAUAGCUUUUUAUAGACAACUUGUUGACUAUGAUUAGUCUUGUAGCUUACUCGCUUAUGCUAUUUUACCUACGCUUAGGAUGUUGACGCGCGUGUGUGCGUG
This 774-nucleotide ribosomal RNA is filed under the name uncultured Neocallimastigales. RNAcentral's name for it is "partial large subunit ribosomal RNA". It matches the Rfam family "Eukaryotic large subunit ribosomal RNA", at positions 26 to 639 of the family's 3401-position model. Lineage: Eukaryota; Fungi; Neocallimastigomycota; Neocallimastigomycetes; Neocallimastigales. The record is from RNAcentral.